Long non-coding RNA from Bos taurus (domestic cattle), 802 nucleotides. The record is from Ensembl. NCBI's taxonomy places the organism in Eukaryota, Metazoa, Chordata, Mammalia, Artiodactyla, Bovidae.
UUUUAAUAUGACGUGUUAGUGAAAGUGUUAGUCACUUCAGUCGUGUCCAACUCUUUGCGACCCCAUGGACUGUAGCCCGCCAGGCUCCUCUGUCCAUGGGGUUUCCCAGGCAAGAACAGUAGAGUGGGUUGACAUGCCCUCCUCCAGGAGAUCUUCCCGACCCAGAGAUUGAACCCAGGUCUCCAGCAUUUCAGGUGGAUUCUUUUCUGUCUCAGCCACCUCGGAACCUUCUGACGGUGAAAUGUGGCCAUUUACCUUCACGCUUCAAUGCCAGCCCCUAAAUCACUGUCUCCGCGCCCGCGCUCAAGGUUGCUCCCGGAGCCGGCCGCCAACAAAGCCGCCGCCGCCUCCGCCCGGGACCCGGGCACCGAGCCUCAGCCCCGCUCCACGCCCCGACCCCCGCGGCCGCGAAGACCCGGAAGGGCCCGCUCCCCGCCUGGUCCGCUGCGCCCCCGCCGCCUUCCUCUUUCCUUCUGUGUCUGUCUCUCCAUUUUUUUGUCCCAAGGCCCUAUCUCCGGGACGAAGCAUCCAGAGGCUCUCGGUCCAAACUCACCAAGAAACCUCAAGUUCACUCCCCUAUGGAUCUCCAUUUGUCUUCCGUGCAAAGAGACAAGGGAGGGGGAGACGGGAGAGAGUCCAAGUUCUGGGCACACAGGACACAGGGUGGGGCGGCUGUUUGGAAAACGGGGAGCUGUUGGCGCAGAGAACCAGGACCGUAGCGAGGAGGUCUCGGUCCCUGCCAAGGCCUGACGUUCCCCCACCUGCCAGUCACGGGAGAGGUCAGCCCAGGGGGAAACGCACA